UGGCUCAGAGGGUAAAGCGUCUGCCUACAAUGCAGGAGACCGGGGUUCGAUCCCUG
Molecule: transfer RNA, 56 nt
Filed under: Muntiacus reevesi (Reeves' muntjac)
Lineage: Eukaryota; Metazoa; Chordata; Mammalia; Artiodactyla; Cervidae
Also listed under: 2 other names
Rfam family: tRNA
About the family: Transfer RNA (tRNA) molecules are approximately 80 nucleotides in length. Their secondary structure includes four short double-helical elements and three loops (D, anti-codon, and T loops). Further hydrogen bonds mediate the characteristic L-shaped molecular structure. tRNAs have two regions of fundamental functional importance: the anti-codon, which is responsible for specific mRNA codon recognition, and the 3' end, to which the tRNAs corresponding amino acid is attached (by aminoacyl-tRNA synthetases). tRNAs cope with the degeneracy of the genetic code in two manners: having more than one tRNA (with a specific anti-codon) for a particular amino acid; and 'wobble' base-pairing, i.e. permitting non-standard base-pairing at the 3rd anti-codon position.
Source: Rfam by way of RNAcentral